Non-coding RNA from Pelobates cultripes (western spadefoot toad), 223 nucleotides. Lineage: Eukaryota; Metazoa; Chordata; Amphibia; Anura; Pelobatidae. The record is from the annotation of a GenBank genome assembly.
GCAGGGUGGCCACCCAGUAACCAGCACAAGUUAGAAUGUGGGCAACUCGGCAGUCAACUCGGCCCUUUCAACUUUCGAUGGUACUUUCUGUGCCUACCAUGGUGACCAUGGGUAACGGGGAAUCAGGGUUCGAUUCCGGAGUGGAAGCCUGAGAAAUGGCUACCACAUCCAAGGAAGGCAGCAGGCGUGCAAAUUACCACUCCCGACGCGGGGAGGUAGUGAC